CAUAAGAAUUUCUCUUCUGUUCAGUUCUGUUCAUCUGUUGUGGCCUGUGGUCUCGUAUAAAAGUCGAUACUUACAUAUACGGUAUAUUGGUAUAUAGCAAUAUAGUGACCUGACCAAUGGUGGCAAUGGUGUCUAUUGUUUAGCGGUUACGUCGAAUUUCUUUUUUUUAUAUAUUUAUAACAUUGAAAAAACGUGAAAUCUAGCAUAAUUAUGAAAAUUCGAUUGAAGAAUUUCCGACGCAACUAAACAUUCUGAUGCCACAUAGUUGGUACAUGACAUGUAAAAUUUUGAAAAAUAAUAUACACUGUAUAUACGUACAUACAGUACCUUCAGAAACGGGAAACGGGAAGAUUGGGGAUUUAAAAAUUUGGCCAAGUUAAGAGAAAUGGAAAGCAUUAAGAUGGACAGCGGGACAGAUAUAAACGAAUCGGAAACUCAGCAAAGUAACAUCGAAGAGAAGAAGGAAAAUUGCCUGACAAAUAUUACUACUCUAGACAUUAAAUCUCGACUUAGUCUGAAAACGAUUCAAGUGUACGAAGAGCCGCAUACAAAUGGAAUACCACCUCGACAAGGUCAUUUAAACCAACACGACGAGGCAGAAACAUUGUCAUUGGAACAUAAAAGCGGUAACAUACAAUACGUUAGUUACACAAGCGAACUGCAAAUGCCUAACAUUAUGCACUUAAUACAAAAGGAUUUAAGCGAACCUUAUUCCAUUUACACGUAUAGAUAUUUUAUUCACAAUUGGCCAAAAUUGUGCUUCUUGGCAAUGCAUGGUGACGAGUGUGUCGGUGCCAUUGUUUGCAAGCUGGAUAUUCAUAGAAAGGUGAUAAAACGUGGAUAUAUUGCAAUGUUAGCCGUUGAUGUGAAAUAUCGAAAGCGAAAGGUCGGAUCAAAUUUGGUAAGACGAGCGAUUCAAGCAAUGAUGGAAGAUAAUGCGGAUGAAGUAGUUCUGGAAACGGAAAUUACUAAUCGGCCGGCGCUACGUUUAUAUGAAAAUCUAGGCUUUGUACGCGAUAAACGUUUGUUUCGGUAUUAUUUGAACGGUGUAGAUGCUCUGAGGUUAAAAUUAUGGCUCAGAUGAAAUUUAUCUGUAUAUAUGUAUACAUAUACAUAUUUUAUAUAAUUCAAAUAUCAAAGAGAAGAAAUAAUAUUUAUCUUCCAUAACGUCGAAGGAUACGUAAUGUUAAUGCCAAAGAAGUUGUCGAUUGUAUGGAUGCAAGGAUUUUUAUUUCGAACGAAGGUAACACUUUACAUCGUGUAUCGGGUAUCGUUUAAUGUUAUGCAAUGUUAAAGUUGACAAUUAAUUUUCUUGCCACAAUAUGGCGUUGCAUCGUUCGUCGCUGAUACGUAAACAUGAUAGAGUGUUAAUGACGUAUGGUUGAUAACGUAUGGUUCUUGAUCUUACCGGCACGACUAGUUAAUUAUUUCCAAAGUAGAUAUAUUCUCUUUGGCAUUAACAUUUAUUGGGAUAGAUCACACUUGUGGUCUAAGAGUAUAAAAUUGAAAAGUGAUAGUGGAAAGAAGAUCGAUACUGCGAAAGGACGGUUGUCGCAAAUGAUAAUUGUAUUAUUUCAUGUCUUACAUUACAAGAAUGUGUACAUGCAUCGAUACCAUUGAAAUAACAAAUGUAAAAUUAAUUUUCAAUCGAUGUCUACGGCAUACGUAAAAUUGGCAAGUAUGCCGGUGAAAUUCAAAUUAAGCUCCUGGUGUUCUGAAUUACGAUAAAUGUACUAUAUACCACCAUUUGGUGGAGCGAUGAAGACGGCGGACACAUUAUAAAUUGUAAAUUGUAAUGCAGGGAUCGGCACUCUUGCUCCAUGAAGCAAGUGGGCUUCUCCCCACUGCGAUAGCUCUGUCAAGUCCUAGGAAGAGAGAAAGAGAGUGUGGGGGUUGUUGCGUAGAUGAGGAGUGGGGGAAGCUGAACGCUAUGUUCUUCUAGAACGGCGAUCUGUCGAUUUUCCGCAGCCUGCAUUAGAAGAUUAUAACUUAUAACUAUACGUACACGCAGGUUCGUGUAUCAGUUUAUCGUCUCCGUUACUCCAGCAUUUGCUUCAUUUGGCGACAUGGUAACAUUCGUCGUAAUUACCAAAACACAAUUAUGUCUAUGAAUUUUGAUAGAAACAAGAUAGUCGUUUAAUCAGGUAAAAUUGGUCUGUUUACAAUGAACCGGGGUGGACUGUAAAUAUGAGCUUAGCUUGGAAUAGCCUGAUGUAUAGGUAUGUAUAAAUGUAUCGUUUUACGUUUGUGUAUGCGUGGCGAAGAGGGAAACGAAAUAAUAACUGGAUAUAAUAUAUGUAAGUCGAUUGUGUCGGGUUCUGCAUCUUUACGAACAUACGUAACAUGGAGUGUAAAGGAAAAAAUGAUGAUUGGUGAUUAGCCAAAUGAAAAUAUUCCGAGAAAGCAAAUUUGAUGGAAAAAUGCGAGUGUAAAUGAUGGUCAUAAAAUGAAAAUGGCACAAUUCGAUUGUGUUCGAUCAUGCUCUCGGUCAUUCCAACUGUCACUCGAUAAACGUUUCUCGUAAGAUGGACUCGAAUCGAAUUACCGCAAUCAUUUGCCAACAUAAUGAGAAGUUAUUGCGGAAUUGUAAUCGGAGACGAGCGAAAGGGGAGAAAGAAAUUGCCCUCGAGAAUAGUCAACGAUCGAAUCGAGGCCGAGACGACGAUCCAUUCUUAGCUUUUAUCAAUUGCUUUUCAAUGUUUUUAACCAUAGUGACGAAUGAACGCAAAAGCUGUUGUUGCGAUAGUUUCCAAUGACAGCGCUAAUAGUUUCAAUUCCAAGACUCGUUCUCAUGGUAAGCGUAGAGUUGCUUCUGUAACAUCAGAGAUGAGUUAUCGUCAAAGAUGAACGUUC
Molecule: RNA transcript, 2853 nt
Organism: Hylaeus volcanicus
Lineage: Eukaryota; Metazoa; Arthropoda; Insecta; Hymenoptera; Colletidae
Gene name: N-alpha-acetyltransferase 30-like
Exons: 5
Source: RefSeq, a predicted model, not a curated record